GACCGUCAAAUUGCGGGAAAGGGGUCAACAGCCGUUCAGUACCAAGUCUCAGGGGAAACUUUGAGAUGGCCUUGCAAAGGGUAUGGUAAUAAGCUGACGGACAUGGUCCUAACCACGCAGCCAAGUCCUAAGUCAACAGGAGACUGUUGAUAUGGAUGCAGUUCACAGACUAAAUGUCGGUCGGGGAAGAUGUAUUCUUCUCAUAAGAUAUAGUCGGACCUCUCCCGAAAGGGAGUUGGAGUACUCG
This 247-nucleotide ribosomal RNA is filed under the name Tetrahymena thermophila. RNAcentral's name for it is "LSU R-RNA GROUP I INTRON from Tetrahymena thermophila (PDB 1GRZ, chain B)". It matches the Rfam family "Group I catalytic intron", at positions 49 to 253 of the family's 253-position model. Rfam says of the family: Group I catalytic introns are large self-splicing ribozymes. Lineage: Eukaryota; Ciliophora; Oligohymenophorea; Hymenostomatida; Tetrahymenidae. The record is from RNAcentral.